UCGCCAUAAGAAUAUAACUUGAAAUACAGUAGUGUGAAUUAACAUGAUAGGAGAUGAAUGUGGUAGAGAAGAUGACUACUAAUCUUUACAUUUCUUGCGUGGAUGCUAUUUAUUGUUCAGAAGAAGAUGGUUCUUCUUCAACAACAGGUUUGCCUCUCUCUCUAAGUUUGGCCAUGGAGGCCUUCAUAGCUUCUUUACGCUUCUUGCUCGCCAAUACCUUCGCCUGAACUCCACUCACUGUCGGAUCAUUCUUCUCCUUAGGUGGUGGUGGAGGUGGCCUUCUUGCUGCCGCUAUUGCCUCCUCCUUACCGUUCAGAGCAUUCCAACUCCAUAGCGCACCACCUAACCCAACCACAAUCGCCCUGCAUUGACAUUUCACGUAAUAACAUUAAUUUCACACUCUAUUAUCAAAUAGAAAACUAGGUUCAUAAAAAUUACCACUUUGUCUAAUCGGUUUUAAUAUAAAAGGACAAACAUAGACAAUUACCUGCGGUUAAUUUGUGGAACUUGAAGGAUGAUGGGGGGAGUCUGCGACGGUGAUCGUGGUGAUGGAGAGGAGAGGCUGCCGGUGUGAGUAGCGGGUAAGAGAGGAGAGAAUGAAUGUGUCAUCAUGGCUGAUCCAAGCAAGUGAUGUAACCCAAAAUUGGUAGACACUAAAAAUGUGUCAUGGCUGAUCCAAGCAAGUGAUGUAACCCAAAUAUAAGAUAGAGUGGGAUAGUGUUGUAGCCUUCGCAAUUUAUAUCUGCCUGCUCAUUGGUUGGAUUUGGAUAAGACAUCAAAAGUAUAAUUUUUUUUUGUCUACAAAGAGAAAGAAGGCUUUCAGGAAUCAAAACGCUGCGUUUUCUAUAAAUGUGGCUUUCUUUCAAGUGCAGUUUCUCUUCUUUUGACAAAUUUAAAUCUUUGAAACUUGACAAGUAUGAUUAAAAAUCAUUACAAUAAUAAGCGCUGUAUUCAUUCCAAACUAUUUCAAAUCCAUACAAAAGUAAGUAGAUUUCAAAACAAACAAACAAAAAGUAAGUAUGAGACUUUUGAUCUAGUUGAUCAUCUCACAAACCAUAAGUUAAAAAAAAAAAACGAGUUAUACUUUUUAUAAUUUAAAAAUACUUUUUGAAACUGUUUUUAAAAUUUUUAUUUUAAUAUUUAUUUUUUAUAAAAUUUUAAACCCUAAUUCCAAAAUCCCACCCCUUAACUCUAAACCCUAAGGUUUGGAUUAAUUAACCCAAGGGGUAUAAAUGUAUAUUUACCUCUUUAAUGAAACCUAUUUUUGUGACUUUGAGCCUUGAGUGCUACUUUGGUAACAUAAACUUGGUUUAGUGUUUUUCUAGUCUUUUUCUCUAGUUUUAUUAUGCCUUUCUAAAUGUGAAAAGUGUGUAUGCUAGUGUUUGUAAAAUGCAUAAUAUGGAGUAGGCAUGGGCAUAAAAACCGAAAAUCCAACCGGAACUGAACCGAAAAAUCGAAUCUAAAACCAAACCAAAGUUCAAAAAUAACCGAAUGGUUCCUAUAUUUCUAUAACUGAAACCGAACCGAGAACCGAAUGGGUACCCGAAUAUCCAAAAUAAAAUUUCUAUACCUAAAAAUAUUAAUUAUAUUUAGUAUUAAAAAUACUAAAUAUUCAAAACGUACUACUUAUAUACCGAAUUAUCCAAAAAAUCGUAAUACUCAAAAAAUCGAAAUACUCAAAAAAAUUGAAAAGUCUAAUUAGAUGGGUUUCGAUAGUACAUUUGCAUCAGUUUGCAACUUUGCAUCAAUUAGAGAUUUGAUAUUUAAUAUUUUAUAAUGUACUAAAGGAUUCUUUAAUAUGAUCAAGUAAAUUAUAGCCUUAUAGGAUACUCUUUUUAGAGCCCAAGUAAGAAGUUACUCGGAUGCCGGUUUAGAGCCUAAGUAAGAAAAUUUCCAUUGGCUUGCGACUAAAUAAUCUGACGUAAGUUAUGGAUCUGAUAUCACAAAGUCGCCAUAAGAAUAUAACUUGAAAUACAGUAGUGUGAAUUAACAUGAUAGGAGAUGAAUGUGGUAGAGAAGAUGACUACUAAUCUUUACAUUUCUUGCGUGGAUGCUAUUUAUUGUUCAGAAGAAGAUGGUUCUUCUUCAACAACAGGUUUGCCUCUCUCUCUAAGUUUGGCCAUGGAGGCCUUCAUAGCUUCUUUACGCUUCUUGCUCGCCAAUACCUUCGCCUGAACUCCACUCACUGUCGGAUCAUUCUUCUCCUUAGGUGGUGGUGGAGGUGGCCUUCUUGCUGCCGCUAUUGCCUCCUCCUUACCGUUCAGAGCAUUCCAACUCCAUAGCGCACCACCUAACCCAACCACAAUCGCCCUGCAUUGACAUUUCACGUAAUAACAUUAAUUUC
RNAcentral lists this long non-coding RNA (2344 nucleotides) under Brassica napus (rape). RNAcentral describes it as "long non-coding RNA (BNAP_LNC005104)". The record is from RNAcentral. Lineage: Eukaryota; Viridiplantae; Streptophyta; Magnoliopsida; Brassicales; Brassicaceae.